ACGCAAAAGCAGAAGCACCCGCUUCUCACCUCUUCGGCGCAGGCUGACAGGUUCGCGAUCAUGGAAUGAUAACUGCAUUGCCUUUUAUCGGCAUGCAAUGAAUUUCAAUGGACGUUGAUGUGAUGCGGGUUCUAUGAGCCCGCAUCUUUUUAUUUUU
Molecule: regulatory RNA element, 157 nt
Organism: Paenibacillus sp.
Lineage: Bacteria; Bacillati; Bacillota; Bacilli; Caryophanales; Paenibacillaceae
Rfam family: Ribosomal protein L20 leader
About the family: This family is a putative r-protein leader autoregulatory structure found in B. subtilis and other low-GC Gram-positive bacteria.
Source: Rfam